This 725-nucleotide ribosomal RNA is filed under the name Acanthogammarus victorii. RNAcentral describes it as "bacterial SSU rRNA". It matches the Rfam family "Eukaryotic small subunit ribosomal RNA", at positions 1255 to 1825 of the family's 1831-position model. Lineage: Eukaryota; Metazoa; Arthropoda; Malacostraca; Amphipoda; Acanthogammaridae. The record is from RNAcentral.
CUCUUUCUCGAUUCAGUGGAUGGUGGUGCAUGGCCGUUCUUAGUUGGUGGAGUGAUCUGUCUGGUUAAUUCCGAUAACGAACGAGACUCUCCCCUGCUAACUAGUCGGUUGGAUCUUGAUCAGUGGGUUGAGUGCCGAGUAACUCUCGCUGUGCGUGUUGUGCGUCUCGUUCCUCACGGUUCGUUGCGUGCUCAUGUGUGGCGUUGGAUGCCUUGGAUCACACUGCACCCCAAGUCCGCCGCUUUGCUAUAACUCUUCUUAGAGGGAUUCACGGCACUGAAGCCGUAAGAGACUGAGAGCAAUAACAGGUCUGUGAUGCCCUUAGAUGCUCUGGGCCGCACGCGCGCUACAAUGCCGGGCACAGCAGGUGUUUCUCCUGCUCCGACAGGAGCGGGUAACCCUCUGAAAGCCAGUGUUCUUGCAAGUGCUUCCUCCCUCGUGGAGUUGCACAGAGGCGUGCUUGGGCCUGGGACUUGCAAUUCUUUCCCACCAACGAGGAAUGCCUAGUAGCGGCGGGUCACUGAGCCCGCUGUGACUCAGUCCCUGCCCUUUGUACACACCGCCCGUCGCUACUACCGAUUGGGUGUACCAGUGAGAGCCUUGGACUGGCGUCCGUUGUUGCUCGCAAGAGUGACAAGCGGGUCCGACGGAAAGAGGUCCGAACUGGUGCACUUAGAGGAAGUAAAAGUCGUAACAAGGUUUCCGUAGGUGAACCUGCGGAAGGA